AGGCACUUAAUUUAAUAAAAAUAUUUGAUUUCGGCUCAAAAACUUGUGGUUAGAGUCCACAUUUGCCUA
This 69-nucleotide transfer RNA is filed under the name Platycephalus indicus (bartail flathead). RNAcentral describes it as "tRNA-Arg". It matches the Rfam family "tRNA". Rfam says of the family: Transfer RNA (tRNA) molecules are approximately 80 nucleotides in length. Their secondary structure includes four short double-helical elements and three loops (D, anti-codon, and T loops). Further hydrogen bonds mediate the characteristic L-shaped molecular structure. tRNAs have two regions of fundamental functional importance: the anti-codon, which is responsible for specific mRNA codon recognition, and the 3' end, to which the tRNAs corresponding amino acid is attached (by aminoacyl-tRNA synthetases). tRNAs cope with the degeneracy of the genetic code in two manners: having more than one tRNA (with a specific anti-codon) for a particular amino acid; and 'wobble' base-pairing, i.e. permitting non-standard base-pairing at the 3rd anti-codon position. The record is from RNAcentral. Lineage: Eukaryota; Metazoa; Chordata; Actinopteri; Perciformes; Platycephalidae.